Molecule: long non-coding RNA, 7592 nt
Organism: Galleria mellonella (greater wax moth)
Lineage: Eukaryota; Metazoa; Arthropoda; Insecta; Lepidoptera; Pyralidae
Exons: 3
Source: RefSeq, a predicted model, not a curated record
ACAAAGAAACGACAUUUAAAGUUUAUUUUAUAGCACUUGUUUAAUUAUAUCAGUAUUUUAUUUAUAAGUUUUAAUUUUACUUUAAUAACAUAACCUAAAAAUCCACACUUUGUCUUCGAUCACGUCAAUUCUCCGUUUUACUACUUGUGGCUCCAUCUAACGUGUCUGGUAAACAACUUACAAUCGCGCGGAGAGCGUCAAAAUAUCAUUAAAGGCGGUUGCAAAUCCGACUACAAGGCAUGGUGACUCCUGCCGAAACUCCCCAAGGAAGAGGCCUGUGAAGGCCAGCAGUGAUCAGUUAACGGCUGAUAUAAUAACACUGGUCUACAUCAAAUUUACUUUUUACAUGGAAAUGUACUAUAUUGAUUGUAUUUCACUCGCUAAUGAUACAUAUAUAUAUACAAGUUAAAAUUCAUAGUUAGCUCUUAUUGUGCAUUUGUGCCAUAUAUAAUAUAAUAGCGGGCAGUGCCAUAGAUUUAUCACAUUAAUGAUGAUAAUUCAACAUAUUUAGUGAUUACCCGCGGAAAUUUUAUUAAUUCAUAUUUAUUAGUUGAGUUUAACGCUAACUGUAUUUUGUUCAACAGUUAAAACGUGAAAUUGUUGUUUUUUUUUUUAUAAUAGUGAAAAUUUAUUUUAGUGAAAAAUCUACAGUUUUCAUUAUGUCGCGUAAAUGUGGUUAUAACAAUGGUGUUGGGUUUACAAAUAGGCUAUAUCAAGUACUGUUUUUUUUUUGUGUGAGUCGGGCUAGAUCUUUACAUUACAUAAAAAUAUAUUGGAAUCGUGAACAAAGCCUGAAUCCUGAAGAAAAGUACAUCAAGCAUCUUCCUCUAGUAAAUUCUCAAAAAAAUCUUCGACCACCGUUACAUAUUAAAUUGGGACUAAUGAAAAACUUUGUGAAGGCUCUCAACAAAAAUGGAUCAGCAUUCAAAUACCUGCGAAGUAAAUUUCCUCGUAUAAGCGACGCCAUAAUAAAAGAAGAAAUCUUUAUCGGACCUGAUAUAAGAGAGAUUCUGAAGGAUCAAAACUUUGAUCCAGUUUUACUGGGCUUUGAAAAAGAAUAAAAAAGAAGAAUUCCACUAAGAUAUCUUGACAAUAGAAGAGAGAUACGAUGCCGAUGGAAGGCGUCAAUGUUAGCGGACUACUUCUGGAAUUUGAGAAGAGAUACCCCUAACAGCGAUUACAAAAGACAAACGAAAAAGAAGAGAAAAUCAUAAUUAAAACACGUUUAAAUAUUUUGUUAAUAUUUCUAUAUUCCGAAUUUCAUAUAAAAAGUAAAAAAUAAUAAUAAAUAAAUAUUGUUUUUUUUUUCAAUAAAUUGUUUUGUACUUUAACGUGUUACUAAAAGUCACAUUUUGUAUUUUAGGUAUAUUUCCAAAAUAAGAGCUAAUUAAAAAAAAAUAUGCGUGUUUUAGUAUUUAGUAACCUCAAAGCAGUAUGAAAAUAUAGUAUUCAAUUUAAUGGCACACAAAAAGUUAAAUUUUGUAGACCAGUGUAAUAUAUAAAACAUGUACCUAUCUAAUGCGACUGUCCGAACAAAAAGAAAACAUAGCAGUUGGAAACCUGGUAGACCAAUGUAAAACUUAGCUAAAAACAAGAAGCAUCUAUUGGCAACUAAAUCAUUUAAACAAUUUUUAUUAAAAUUGGAAGGGAGAGGUAAGACUUUUUAUCUUGGUCAGUCUAUAUAUAUAAUAAUUAACUAUAGUGUAUUUCCACUGGUACAUUCAAAUUUACUGACGCAUAUGUGUUAGCAGAGUAGCGCAUGCAAUAACGCAUGCGUUUCUCUCUCUUUUCAUUUAAGAGUUCUCUUGUCGGUGCAGCUAAUUCACGCAUUUUCUUCCAGCCAGUUUGAUUCCAUGUCAUAUCUUGGAUCUCCUUGUACGAUAUGACUCCUAGUGUUUCCUUUGUCUGUCCCAUGUAAUUAUUCCUCGGUCUUCCUCUUCCUCUUUUGCCCUCUAUUUUUUCUUCUACUAUGCUCUUUAAAAAAUCGUCAUAUCGUAUAAACUCGCUCAGCAUUUUGCUUCUUUUAUUCUUUUUUGUUUUAUUAUUGUUCUUUUCUCAUUCAUCCUUUUCAAGACUUUCUGAUUCGGUACAUUUUCUGUCCUACUUAUCCUUUCCAUUCUCCUCCAUGUCCACAUUUCAAAUGCCUCAAGCAUCUUUCUUUCCUUUUGCGUCUAUGUUUCACACCCAUAUAAUGCUAUGUUCCGGGGCGAAAGGGAUUGUUAGCAAUGGAGUUUGACAGCUCCAUUGCUAGCAAUAUACCUUUUUAGGUCGACCUCUACGUGGUUCUCCCUGGAAUGGUUUCCAGUUUUCGUGAACAAUUCCUGUUGAAUUCGUCACGAUGGGCUAACUGACCUACUCUAUCCUCAUCUAUCAUCUUUUACUGGUGCUCCGCCGGUGUAUACCGAUAGCACGGGUGGGGUUACCAUUCCAUUAUCAUCCAUUACAAAAGAAUGCAAUGUUCCAAAUGUAAGUUUUUAUAAAUUUCUUAAGGAUAAUUUUUGAUAUUUUCUAUGUAUAUAUGUUUUUCGUUAUUAUAAACCUGUAGCGUACUCUGUGAUUAUACUUCCUAAGUAGUUAAAGUUCUUAAUAUUUUGGAUAAGUAUGUUAUUUAUCUUUAUUUGACUUUCCUUUUGUAUUGUAAUUGGUUUUUUAAGAAUAGUGUGUAUUUUGGUUUUAUUUGUGUAAAUUUUGUGUAACAUUUUCCUUAAAAAUUGUAUCCAUAUUAAUUUGAUAAUAUUUCUAAAUCUUUACGUGUUUCUGCUAUUACUGCUAUGCCAUCACCAAAUUUAAUCUAUUUAAUUAUUUUCCUAUUGAACUGGACAUCUUUAUCGAUAGAAUGUCUUAAAUUUUUCUUAUAGCUGUCCUCUGUAAAUAGUUAAAUAUGAGUGGUGGACAACCUUGUCUUAUUCCUUGACGAAUUCUUACUUUUCCUUUCUUCUCUCGUAUUUUUUACAGUUUCUUGAUAUUUAUAUAUUUCGUAGACUAUUCUUCUAUCCCUGAAAUCUAACCCCGAAUCCUUUAGUAAUUCCAUCAUUUUCUUCCAAUCUACUCUAUCGAAAGCCUUCUCCAGAUCUACAAAAGCGAUAUGUGUAUUCUUCUAUUGUAAGUCUCAGCGCUAAAAAUGCCUCACGCGUACCUCUGUUUGCUUUAAAUCGAUACUGUCUUUCCCUAAAUUGACUUUAUAUUGAUCUUAUUCUAUUUUGUAUUAUUUUAAAAAUUAUCUUGUAAGUGUGAUAUACCGGUUAAGGUAUUGAACUGUACCAUACGAAAUAAAAUUUGUUUAAGUUUAAAAUUGUUUUUUGUAAUAAAAAUAUUGCCUUUAAACCUUAUUAAAAACGAAACAGUGAGCACUGCUUGCAAUGUAAAACGUAAUAAAUGUCGUUUGUUUCAGGACAAAUUCAAAUAGUGCCUAAUUCUCGGGGAAAAGAAAUUAUCAUGUAUAAGAAUUACACGUUCUCCUAUCGUAAUAACAGGCGGUUAGCGGUUUGUUCUAAAAUCAUCAGCAAGAAAUGCAAAGCUCAGCUUAAAUUUAUGCCCGACGGAAAGACCAUAUUGCUCGCUCACACCGAACACAAUCACGAAGCGCCCGUGUUUCAUAAAAUGUCUAAUGGUGAGUAUGGUGUUUAUACCGCAGUCUCUCGCUUCUCAAAGGAACAGCACACAUAAUACCAGUUGCGCAAAAUAAGACUGCGGUCAUGUACAGAAAUUAUACUUACUCAUACAUAGGUACUACUAAGCGACAUUUGAUUUGCUCAAAGAAGAGAAGUGGUGGAUGUCCAGCUCGAUUAAAAGUGGAUAAUAACUUAAAAGUGCUAUUCGCAGACGUGACCCAUAAUCACCGACCACCAAUAUUCAUUAAAGGCAUUCAAGGCAUUUAUCAUAGAGUUUAAUUAAUUCAAUUUAUGAAAUUUUGGCUUUUGGUCACAAGAAAAUAUCAAUGUUUUGCUCUUUGAGGGCAAAGUAUUAAACUUAGUUGUGACCAUUUUGUGUUACUAUGGCGCAUUCACGAGAUAUUGGCGCAUGAAUUUACAAAUAAAUAUUAUUGUACAGAUUUAACAAUAUCUAAUCAUUUAGACAGUUUUGUUAACCAUUGUUUAUUUUAUUAGAACAACCUGUGCGAGACAAUGUUUUAACUCUUUGCAUUUUGGUGUCGCCGUAUUUGCGAUAUUAAAAUGCUAACAUUAAAUCCACUGUCGCGGCUACGGCGACACGGUUGUUUUACUGACUCAGAUAUACCCAUUAUAAAAUAGUUAAGUAAUAAAUGUUUUGUUUUUUAAUCACAGGUAUGUACUUGUAACUAAUAUAGUGCUGGAGUUAUUUCUAUCCUCUAUGAGUUACUAGGCUGGAAUGCAGUGUUAAAUAUUAUUUGUAAUAGACCAAGAAUAUUUACAAUAUCUAUGGAUCGUCUCAUCUUUUAUUAAUACGUUCCCGAUUGAAGUUGCUUAAUUACAAAGUGAUUAUACGCCUGUUUGUUUAAAAAGUAAUUCCUCUUUGCAGAUAAGAUCUGCGUGCUACAUUUUCCUGGCAACAAAUCUAUUGCACUAUAUAAAAAUUAUACAUACUCGUAUGUAACUGGCAGAGUGAACCAUUUGGUCUGCUCUAAAAAGAGAAGGGGGAAUUGUCACGCCCGUCUGAAACUCGACGAUGACGGAUAUGUGAUCUUUGCUACCGGAGUACACAAUCAUCCGCCUCCAAAUUUUCAUAUAUCAUCCAAUGGGACAUAUAUUAAGCUGUAGUAUUAUAAUAAAGUCGAUAUCACUAUAAUUCCGAUCAUGGUAAGUUUUCGAUCUAGUGAAGUUAUUAUUAAGAAACAUUGUAUUUAUAUUAUUUGAUAAUUCAGUUUCGUUCUAGUCAUGAUUAAUUUGAAAGUAUUUGCCACGCCGACAUCGAGCCGGGAACGAACCUUAAUCGGCAUUAUAGUCAGGGGUCUACCAUGAAAUGAAAUACCGAAUUUUCGGACUCAAUUUCGUGUUUUUAUUCAUACCAAAAUCAGAUCAGUAAAUGGAGCUUAACAUUUUGUUUAUCAUAAAUCCUACCAUAAAAGUACAAUGGAACGAUAUUUUAACGCUUUUAAUAUUUUAAAACGGUAUGGUAUUAUGUAACUUUAAAAUGAAAUUUGUAUUCAGUUCGGUUUCGAAAUUUUGAUAACAUUUCACGGUAGACUCUCUAAAUCUAGUCUUUUCAAUAUCGUGUGUUCAAAACGUAUAACAAAAGGGAAAAGUUAUUUUUCAACGCAAUCGUGUAUUUCUCUAAAGCUUUGGGGUUUUUUUUUUUUUUUUACUAUAAACUUCAUUAAAACAGUUUAAAGAAAAUUAAUGUAAAUUAAUUUUGUAAGAAUUAUUGUGUGUGAUAAUAAUAAUUUGUAAGUUUAUUGAACAUGUACGUUUUCUACACAGGAAGUGUGACGUACUUCUGUACAGAAAGUAGACUUGACCUUAAUUUACUAGUAUGAGAUAAGUAGCAUAUUGGAGUCCGCUAGUCAAUUCUUAAUGUUAAAAGUAAAUAUCGUGCCAAGCAACAUAAAUUGUGUCAUGGUCAUGUUGGAAUGUGAAAUAAAAAAAAAAUCACCAACCAUUUCAAUUAUUUUUCGUGUUGAGUAUAUCAUACCAGUCUUAACUGUCCAAUGCUGAACAUAAGUGAGUUUUUACUACUAGUAAAAAACCUGUACCUUUGAGUGUUUUACUAGUAGUUGCUACGCUUGGCAGGCGGAUUGGUAACCGCAGCUAAGCUUUGGAGACGUUUUAAGAGGGAUGCUGCUGACCUUCCCUCGCUCUCCUAAGUCGCUUCUUACGACGCCCAUAUGAAUGGAAGAGGUGGCGUUUUCUAUGCCGCCACGAGGAUUUCGUGUAGUAUCCAAUGGGAUAUACAUUAAGCUGUAGAAUUAAACUUAUUAUAAGUAUUUAUAUUCAACAAAUAUUCAACAAAAAAUGCUAACGCAGGAGGUACUUAAUUCGGUUGUAUUUUGUUAUGUUUGUUACCUCAUAACUCUGUCAGUUCUAAACCGAUUUGGAAUUCUUUUUAUCUGAAAAGAUACACUUACUGAUUAGUUUUAUAGAAAUUUUAACAAAAUCAGUUCAGUGGCUUAUUUAGUUUUUAGAUUAAAACAAUUAAGGUUUUUUUUUUUUUGUGGGACACAAUCUUUAAUCUGUUAUAGUUCAUAUGGAUAGAUAAAACAAUUGUCUUGGUUUUUACUGUUUAGCAAUAAUUUGUCAUAAAUUUAUCUGUGUCAAUUAUAGUGUUUUAUCUCCGUCAAGAUAGAUUCUUUAUUUAGUAAAAAUGUUAAAACUGUCUAAAGUGUUUAUUGUAAAAAUGUAGUAGUAUAAAGUGUUUGUUUUGUGUGUUUAUAUGUAUUGUGUAUUUAAAAAUUGCGUGGAUUGUCAUUUACUUUACUCUUGAUUGUAUUUUUAUUCUUUUUGGCAAUUUUCAGGUGACGAACAGAUAACGGUUCUACCUACAACUAACAAUAAAGUUAUUUUAAUGUAUAAAAAAUAUUCUUUUUCAUAUAAGAAUGCUAAAAGCAAAACUUUGGCUUGCUCAAAACGACUAAGAGGCAAAUGUCCUGCUAAAUUAAAAGUGGACUCUGAGGGGAACGUGGUGUUAUCAGUAAAUGAACAUAAUCAUUCACCGCCAAAUUAUCACAAAACUGCCAAUGGUUUAUAUGUUAAGAUAUCUUAAGUUUUUAAUAAAUGCCGUCUAAUAAUGAUGAGAACUUGAAACGUGGAGGCGCACCUGAUUUAAUUAUUAAUGAGAAAUCUCAUUUAAACUUUUGUUUUAUUCUCUUUUUAAAACAAAAAACUGUACUAUGACCUUUUUAUUUAAUACCUCAUCACAAAAUUUGUCAAACCAGUAAUAUUUAGGAUAGGAAAGGAUAUAUAUUAUUUUUUUCAGGCAAUCAACAAUUUCAGUCAAAAAACAACAACAAAGGCGGAUAAAGUUUAUUUUUAUUUUCAACUUAGAAUAGCAAACAAGUUGACGGCCCACCUGAUGGAAAAUGGUAACCGUUUUGCCCAUCACACCUCCCCAUGCGUUACCAUUCUUGAGGACUCAGGUGUCAUUCCUCUGUACCCUGUAAAUUUACUGCCAUAUCACACCCUUCAAAUCGAAACACAGCCAUGCAAACAUAACUGCUUCACAGUAGAAACACGAAUAAGACAGAGGCACCCAAGCAAACGAUUUUCGUACAAAAUUUCUCUCUGGUAAAGUGUCAAAUAAAGACUAGAAGAGCAUGAUUGGUAUAAUUUACUGAACAGAUAUUAAUACUUCUUUAAACGUACCGUGAAAAAGUACUCACUGAUCCGUCAUAGUGCGGCUAAUCGUUGAAAGUACAGUUCUAUUCUCGGUUGGUCGUAUUCAUGGACCAUGUCGUCUGUAUUCGCUAAGCAUGAUGUGGUCACAUGUCGAGCUAAUAUUAAAAAAAAAACACGUCAAAAAAAACUAAUUUAAAUCCAAUUGACACCUAAUUGGUAUUUGUUGUUUUGUAUGCACAUUUUUAGAGUAUCUUUAUCCCAUUUUGUGUACGUAAGUGAAUUAAUAAAUUUCUAUAAUUCUCUUACUAAUUAAUUACUGUGGUACAAAGUGAUCUAUAUAUAUAA